This 253-nucleotide ribosomal RNA is filed under the name uncultured bacterium. RNAcentral describes it as "partial 16S ribosomal RNA". It matches the Rfam family "Bacterial small subunit ribosomal RNA", at positions 524 to 776 of the family's 1533-position model. The record is from RNAcentral.
UACGUAGGUGGCGAGCGUUGUCCGGAUUUACUGGGCGUAAAGGGAGCGUAGGCGGACUUUUAAGUGAGAUGUGAAAUACUCGGGCUCAACUUGAGUGCUGCAUUUCAAACUGGAAGUCUAGAGUGCAGGAGAGGAGAAUGGAAUUCCUAGUGUAGCGGUGAAAUGCGUAGAGAUUAGGAAGAGCACCAGUGGCGAAAGCGAUUCUCUGGACUGUAACUGACGCUGAGGCUCGAAAGCCUGGGGAGCAAACAGG